RNAcentral lists this ribosomal RNA (424 nucleotides) under uncultured bacterium. RNAcentral's name for it is "bacterial SSU rRNA". It matches the Rfam family "Bacterial small subunit ribosomal RNA", at positions 492 to 917 of the family's 1533-position model. The record is from RNAcentral.
CUCGCGUGUCGUGUCAGCAGCCGCGGUAAUACAGAGGAUGCAAGCGUUAUCCGGAAUGAUUGGGCGUAAAGCGUCUGUAGGUGGUUUGUUAAGUCUGAUGUGAAAGCCCUGGGCUCAACCUGGGAACUGCAUUGGAAACUGGCUUACUAGAGUGCGGUAGAGGGUAGUGGAAUUCCCGGUGUAGCAGUGAAAUGCGUAGAUAUCGGGAGGAACAUCUGUGGCGAAGGCGACUACCUGGACCAGCACUGACACUGAGGCACGAAAGCGUGGGGAGCAAACAGGAUUAGAUACCCUGGUAGUCCACGCCCUAAACGAUGCGAACUGGAUGUUGGGAGCAACUUGGCUCUCAGUAUCGAAGCUAACGCGUUAAGUUCGCCGCCUGGGAAGUACGGUCGCAAGACUGAAACUCAAAUGAAUUGACGGG